Molecule: ribosomal RNA, 328 nt
Filed under: uncultured bacterium
Lineage: Bacteria
Description: bacterial SSU rRNA
Rfam family: Bacterial small subunit ribosomal RNA
Source: RNAcentral
GAAAGGUGGUCUGAUACCUUAUAGUAUCCAUCUCGUAUGGAUUAAAGCUUUAUGCGCUUUGGGAGGGGCCUGCGUUUGAUUAGCUAGUUGGUGAGGUAAAAAGCUCACCAAGGCGACGAUCAAUAGCUGGUUUGAGAGGAUGACCAGCCACACUGGGACUGAGAUACGGCCCAGACUCCUACGGGAGGCAGCAGUAAGGAAUCUUCCACAAUGGGGCAACCCUGAUGGAGCAAUACCGCGUGCAGGAUGAAGCGUUUCGGCGUGUAAACUGCUUUUAUCACCGAAGAUUAUGACUGUAGGUGAAGAAUAAGGACCGGCUAACUACGUG